GAGGAUCCUGCGUCUGAUUAGCUAGUUGGCGGGGUAAUGGCCCACCAAGGCGACGAUCAGUAGCCGGCCUGAGAGGGUGAUCGGCCACACUGGAACUGAGACACGGUCCAGACUCCUACGGGAGGCAGCAGUGGGGAAUUUUGCGCAAUGGACGAAAGUCUGACGCAGCAACGCCGCGUGGGUGAUGAAGGUCUUCGGACUGUAAAACCCUGUCGUCAGGGACGAAGGUUGGGGGGUUAAUAACCCUUUAGCUUGACGGUACCUGGAGAGGAAGCCCCGGCUAACUCUGUGCCAGCAGCCGCGGUAAUACAGAGGGGGCAAGCGUUAUUCGGAAUUAUUGGGCGUAAAGGGCGCGUAGGCGGUUUUUUAAGUCAGAUGUGUAAUCCCCGAGCUUAACUUGGGAACUGCAUCUGAGACUGGAAGGCUAGAGUACUGGAGAGGGUGGUGGAAUUCCUCGUGUAGCGGUGAAAUGCGUAGAGAUGAGGAGGAACACCAGUGGCGAAGGCGGCCACCUGGACAGUAACUGACGCUGAGGCGCGAAAGUGUGGGUAGCAAACAGGAUUAGAU
Molecule: ribosomal RNA, 567 nt
Filed under: uncultured bacterium
Lineage: Bacteria
Description: bacterial SSU rRNA
Rfam family: Bacterial small subunit ribosomal RNA
Source: RNAcentral